UGUCCAGGGAUGGGAAUCGAACCCACAGUGUUCCGCUUACCGGGCAGAUGCCAUGUCCACUAGGAUAGCUUUUUAUGGCUACAC
Non-coding RNA from Cordylochernes scorpioides, 84 nucleotides. The record is from the annotation of a GenBank genome assembly. Lineage: Eukaryota; Metazoa; Arthropoda; Arachnida; Pseudoscorpiones; Chernetidae.